Molecule: long non-coding RNA, 696 nt
Organism: Homo sapiens (human)
Lineage: Eukaryota; Metazoa; Chordata; Mammalia; Primates; Hominidae
Gene: DCXR-DT
Product: DCXR divergent transcript
Exons: 2
Source: RefSeq, marked validated
GUGCUUGAAAUCGACGUAGUGGACCCUGGCUAGCAUAUUUUUCCCUGCCAAGAUUAUUGCAAAAAGACGAUGUGGUGGUUAAUAUCGGAAAGAAUGUGUGGUUAAUAUCAGGAAGAACACGUGAAAUGGAGAAUUUCAGGGCUAACAUUUCUUGUUUUGUUUCUGAAAACAUCGGCAUGUCCUAAAAAGUGUCGCCUGUGCCCAUCAUCUCUCAGGCUUGGGAGCAGGACACCGCCGGCUCACUUUAAAGCCAAGGGAAAGAAUUUGGACAACCAACUACGUCUGGAGAAGACACCAAUGUCAGCAGAGCUCCGCUUUCAUCUGUGGGCGAAGGAUUACCUAGAUGCCAAGGCAAGAGACUGAAGACACAAACUGUUUCAGUAUAACAAAGAAAAUAGGCCGGGAGCGGUGGCUCACGCCUGUAAUCCCAGCACUUUGGGAGGCCGAGGCGGGUGGAUCACGAGGUCAGGAGAUCGAGACCAUCCUGGCUAACACGCUACCUAAAAGGGAAGCGCCCCCUGUCCUAUGAUCACGUGACUUGCUUCACCUUGUCAAUCACUUGGAAGAUUCACCCUCCUUACCCUGCCCUCCUUGUCUUGUAUGCAAUAAAUAUCAGUGCGCCCAGCCAUUCGGGGCCACUACUGGUCUCCGUGUCUUGAUGGUAGUGGUCCCCCGGGCCCAGCUGUUCUCUCUUUA